RNAcentral lists this ribosomal RNA (253 nucleotides) under uncultured bacterium. RNAcentral describes it as "partial 16S ribosomal RNA". It matches the Rfam family "Bacterial small subunit ribosomal RNA", at positions 524 to 776 of the family's 1533-position model. The record is from RNAcentral.
UACAGAGGGUGCAAGCGUUAAUCGGAAUUACUGGGCGUAAAGCGCGCGUAGGUGGUUUGUUAAGUUGGAUGUGAAAUCCCCGGGCUUAACCUGGGAACUGCGCUUGUAACUGGCAAGCUGGAGUGUGGCAGAGGGGGGUGGAAUUCCACGUGUAGCAGUGAAAUGCGUAGAGAUGUGGAGGAACACCGAUGGCGAAGGCAGCCCCCUGGGCUAACACUGACGCUCAUGCACGAAAGCGUGGGGAGCAAACAGG